RNAcentral lists this ribosomal RNA (484 nucleotides) under uncultured bacterium. Its description in RNAcentral is "partial 16S ribosomal RNA". It matches the Rfam family "Bacterial small subunit ribosomal RNA", at positions 30 to 507 of the family's 1533-position model. The record is from RNAcentral.
AUUGAACGCUGGCGGCAGGCCUAACACAUGCAAGUCGAGCGGAUGAAGGGAGCUUUCUCCUGUAUUCAUCGUCGGACGGUUGUGUAAUGCCUAGUAAUCUGCCUGGUUGUGGGGGAUAACGUCCGGUAACGGGCGCUAAUACCGCAUACGUCCUUAGUGAGAAAUUUGUGGAUCUUCGGACCUCACGCUAUCUGAUGUGCCUAGGUCGGAUUUGCUAGUUGGUGGGGUAAAGGCCUACCAAGGCGACUAUCCGUAACUGGUCUGAGAGGAUGAUCAGUCAAACUGGAACUGAGACACGGAACAGAGUACUACGGGAGGCAGCAGUGGGGAAUAUUGGACAAUGGGCGAAAGCAUGAUAAAGAAAAGCGGAGUGUGUGAAGAAGGUCUGAGGAUUGUAAAGAACUGUAAGUUGGGAGGAAGGGAAGUAAGUUAAUAAAUAGAUGGAUUGACGUUAACAACAGAAUAAGCACCGGCUAACUACGUG